UACGUAGGGUGCAAGCGUUAAUCGGAAUUACUGGGCGUAAAGAGUGCGCAGGCGGUGCUGUAAGACAGGCGUGAAAUCCCCGGGCUUAACCUGGGAAUGGCGCUUGUGACUGCAGUGCUGGAGUGCGGCAGAGGGGGAUGGAAUUCCGCGUGUAGCAGUGAAAUGCGUAGAUAUGCGGAGGAACACCGAUGGCGAAGGCAAUCCCCUGGGCCUGCACUGACGCUCAUGCACGAAAGCGUGGGGAGCAAAC
RNAcentral lists this ribosomal RNA (250 nucleotides) under uncultured Hydrogenophaga sp. Its description in RNAcentral is "partial 16S ribosomal RNA". It matches the Rfam family "Bacterial small subunit ribosomal RNA", at positions 524 to 773 of the family's 1533-position model. The record is from RNAcentral. Lineage: Bacteria; Pseudomonadati; Pseudomonadota; Betaproteobacteria; Burkholderiales; Comamonadaceae.